CAGUAGCCGCGGUAAUGCGUAGGUGGCAAGCGUUGUCCGGAAUUAUUGGGCGUAAAGCGCGCGCAGGCGGAUCGGUCAGUCUGUCUUAAAAGUUCGGGGCUUAACCCCGUGAUGGGAUGGAAACUGCCAAUCUAGAGUAUCGGAGAGGAAAGUGGAAUUCCUAGCGUAGCGGUGAAAUGCGUAGAUAUUAGGAAGAACACCAGUGGCGAAGGCGACUUUCUGGACGAAAACUGACGCUGAGGCGCGAAAGCCAGGGGAGCGAACGGGAUUAGAUACCCCGGUAGUCCCUGUCUCUUAUACC
RNAcentral lists this ribosomal RNA (301 nucleotides) under uncultured bacterium. RNAcentral describes it as "partial 16S ribosomal RNA". It matches the Rfam family "Bacterial small subunit ribosomal RNA", at positions 509 to 808 of the family's 1533-position model. The record is from RNAcentral.